UCCAAUAUCUAUAGUUGCCUCUGAGUCGGCUUUUAGCACAGCAUGUCGAGUACUUGAUCCUUUCCGCAGUAGCCUAUCUCCACUUAUGGUUGAAGCCCUUAUCCGUACACAAAAUUGGCUUCACUCAUCUUCUGCCCCGUUAAACAUUCGCACUUUAAUGGAUGAUGUUGAGUAGUUUGAGAAAUUUGAUACAGAGCUCAUGGAAGACUUAGGGAGUUCUUCAAGACCUACUUCUUUGAUUGGAGAUGAUUAAAUUUAAGGUUUGUUGAAUGGACUAUUGGAGUUGGUGGCUACGUGCAUAGCUAUUAUUAUUAGUUACUUGUUCUAGUUGUAAAGUUUUUUAUUGGAU
Long non-coding RNA from Carya illinoinensis, 349 nucleotides. RefSeq lists it as uncharacterized. The record is from RefSeq and is a predicted model, not a curated record. NCBI's taxonomy places the organism in Eukaryota, Viridiplantae, Streptophyta, Magnoliopsida, Fagales, Juglandaceae. The transcript is spliced from 3 exons.